AACGCACAUUGCGCCCAUUAGUAUUCUAGUGGGCAUGCCUGUUCGAGCGUCAUUCGACAGUUAAGCCCCUGUUGCUUAGCGUUGGGAGCCUACCGGGCGCGCGUCGCGCCCCGCGUAGCUCCUCAAAACCAGCGGCGGGGCCGGUCUCGCGCUCCAGACGUAGUAACGCACCUCGUCUGCGGGCCGGGCCGGUCUCUCCAGCCGUAAAACAAACCCCUUCAGUAACAGUUGACCUCGGAUCAGGUAGGAAUACCCGCUGAACUUAA
RNAcentral lists this unclassified non-coding RNA (266 nucleotides) under uncultured fungus. RNAcentral describes it as "partial contains 5.8S ribosomal RNA, internal transcribed spacer 2, and large subunit ribosomal RNA". The record is from RNAcentral. Lineage: Eukaryota; Fungi.